CUGACACAGGGAGGUAGUGACAAUAAAUAACAAUGCCGGGCCUAUACAGGUCUGGCAAUUGGAAUGAGAACAAUUUAAAUCCCUUAUCGAGUAUCAAUUGGAGGGCAAGUCUGGUGCCAGCAGCCGCGGUAAUUCCAGCUCCAAUAGCGUAUAUUAAAGUUGUUGCAGUUAAAAAGCUCGUAGUUGGAUUUCUGCCGAGGACGACCGGUCCGCCCUCUGGGUGAGCAUCUGGCUCGGCCUGGGCAUCUUCUUGGAGAACGUAUCUGCACUUGACUGUGUGGUGCGGUAUUCAGGACUUUUACUUUGAGGAAAUUAGAGUGUUUCAAGCAGGCAUACGCCUUGAAUACAUUAGCAUGGAAUAAUAAGAUAGGACCUCGGUUCUAUUUUGUUGGUUUCUAGAUCUGAGGUAAUGAUUAAUAGGGAUAGUUGGGGGCAUUCGUAUUUAACUGUCAGAGGUGAAAUUCUUGGAUUUGUUAAAGACGGACUACUG
This 490-nucleotide ribosomal RNA is filed under the name uncultured dinoflagellate. RNAcentral's name for it is "SSU rRNA". It matches the Rfam family "Eukaryotic small subunit ribosomal RNA", at positions 451 to 945 of the family's 1831-position model. The record is from RNAcentral. Lineage: Eukaryota; Dinophyceae.